AUGGUUCAAGCAGGUGGAGAUUUUUCAGUUGCUAAGUUUUUUCCUGUGUUUCAAACUAUUAUUCUUUCAUUUGAGAAAGAGGGGAAAAAGGUUGAGGGUGUUUCGGGUCUCCAGUUAAAACCCCCAUCCCCAUUAACCUUUCUGAGUGUCCCUAAACCCUCUUCUCUAUCUGAUGGGCAGUCGGCAGGUGAACAUAGCCACCAGGCACAGCGUUGCUACUGUCUCCCUGACACCCCCCCACCGCCUCUCUACCCUUACCAGGACAGUACUGGCCAUGCCACUCUGGGUCUUUCCUCUACCCUCCUCCCUAUGCCUACAUACCCACUUGUAUCCCCCCUGGUUCAUGAUAUCACUAAAGAUGGUGCUGGCAACAUGGCCAGCCCCGCCAUCUUGUCUCCUUCACACCCAGGUUUUCCUGCCCUUGCACCCCAAAAUGGCCACUUUCCCACCUCUACCCCUUCUCUUCCUGUUGCGCCCUGCUCCGCUUCCUCUCCUACUGCGUCGUUGGGUGUAACUGCGUCAGGCCCCUCCCCGGCCACUGGGAAACUCCUACCCGUUGUGGACCCCAGUCACGCCCCUUCCAACCAGAGCUCCACCCCCGCUGGCACUCCCACUCCCAAUCCCCGCCACACCAGGACUGGAAGUAGUAAUGACAGCAACCGGAAGGUAGCCAUCUUGUCUUCCUCGGCCACUCACAAGCAAACCAGUACUGGCUGCCCAAAACUGCCACGUGCUGUCAUCAAGCAUCCCCCAUCCCCACUAGGGGAUGAAAACAGCAAGUCCUCAUAUGCAGAAUCUGAAUAUGAAGACCACUGGGCCAAGGUACAAAGGGAAGCCACGUGGGCAGGAGACUCAGCCCUGUCUAAAAAGAUAUUAGCUUUCCCUGUGGUACAGAGAAAGGACAGGGCAGGGGCACUCAUUAAUGUAUGGGAGUCCCUACACUAUAGAGAGUUACAGGUGCUGUGCAAAGCCACUGAGGAGCAUGGUAGAGGCUCUCACUUUUUCAAAAACUUACCAGAAGCCACCUUCACCACCCAUGUCAUGGUCCCUCAUGACAUCAAAAACAUUAUAAACUGCCUGCUUUCCCCGGCAGAAUAUAUGCUGUGGGAAAAGCAGUAG
This 1119-nucleotide long non-coding RNA is filed under the name Cyanistes caeruleus (blue tit). RNAcentral describes it as "lncRNA (ENSCCEG00000014178.1)". The record is from RNAcentral. Lineage: Eukaryota; Metazoa; Chordata; Aves; Passeriformes; Paridae.